Chytridium lagenaria is the source of this 71-nucleotide non-coding RNA. The record is from the annotation of a GenBank genome assembly. Lineage: Eukaryota; Fungi; Chytridiomycota; Chytridiomycetes; Chytridiales; Chytridiaceae.
GCAACUGUAGUUUAGGGGCAGAAUUGAAGCUUCCCAAGCUUUAGGUCCGGGUUCGAUUCCCGGCAGUUGCA